UGGGCUUGACAUGUUCCUGACCGCCGUGGAAACACGGCUUCCCUUCGGGGCAGGAUCACAGGUGGUGCAUGGCUGUCGUCAGCUCGUGUCGUGAGAUGUUGGGUUAAGUCCCGCAACGAGCGCAACCCCCGUCGCAUGUUGCCAGCAUUUAGUUGGGGACUCAUGUGAGACUGCCGGUGACAAACCGGAGGAAGGUGGGGAUGACGUUUCUAGGAGGGUG
This 220-nucleotide unclassified non-coding RNA is filed under the name uncultured Solirubrobacteraceae bacterium. RNAcentral's name for it is "contains 16S-23S intergenic spacer region". It matches the Rfam family "Bacterial small subunit ribosomal RNA", at positions 976 to 1197 of the family's 1533-position model. Lineage: Bacteria; Bacillati; Actinomycetota; Thermoleophilia; Solirubrobacterales; Solirubrobacteraceae. The record is from RNAcentral.